Molecule: RNA transcript, 2548 nt
Organism: Ziziphus jujuba (common jujube)
Lineage: Eukaryota; Viridiplantae; Streptophyta; Magnoliopsida; Rosales; Rhamnaceae
Gene name: RNA pseudouridine synthase 4, mitochondrial
Exons: 11
Source: RefSeq, a predicted model, not a curated record
AGUUUUUAUUUUUAUUUUUUAUUUUUUAAUUAUUAUCGUAUAAAGAACUAAGAUGGAACCGAAAACCCUUCCUUAAACCUUGCUGGGCUUUUGUCUUCCUCUUCUGUGAAAGCCCUGAAGCCACAAACAAUGGCAAACCCCAAACUCCUCCGCCGAAUCCUACUCCGUUCACCACUAAACGACACCGUUUUGGAUGGCGCGAGGCUUUUCUUCUCCCCUUUCCACGAGUGGCGUUCUCACUACUCAUCCAUUGCCCCCGAAACACUCACUCAAGAAGAAAACCCCGGCGACAACAACAGCAACAAAUGGUUCACUUUGCCUCCGUACACUUCCACCGUCGACGGUGGAAUUCUGGGGAAGGAGAUCGCGAGAAACCGAUUGGAAAAUAAAAACGACGCCGCAAUAGGCCGUGGAGCUGCAAACCCCCCAUAUAGCUCCUCCACCACGGCGCUUAAAUGGGUUGUCCGUUGUUGCCCUGAGCUUCCUAGAAGCCUUGUUCAGAAGCUCUUCCGCCUCAGACAGGUUCGAAGGGAAUCCUGUGACAUUGGACAUUCUGAAAUGGGCGAUGAAUUACAGAAACCCCGACUUCGCAGGGUGACAGCUAAAGACUCUAUGAACUUAGGAGACCGAAUAUAUCUACCAAUUAGCGUUCAAGAGUUCCCAGUUGAUAAGAAAGAAUAUCAUUGCAACGAAGAAGAAGUGAGCUUUAUCCGCAGCCUUGAGCUAUACAAGGAUCCUGCAAUUAUUGUUGUCAAUAAACCUCCUGGAAUGCCAGUUCAGGGAGGGAUUGGAAUCAAAAGAAGUUUAGAUGAACUGGCCGCCACCUGCUUAAGUUAUGACUGCUUGGAACCCCCUCGGCUAGUACACAGACUUGACAGAGAUAGUAGUGGCAUCUUGGUGAUGGGAAGGACACAAACAAGUGCAACAGUUUUGCAUACCAUCUUCCGUGAGAAAACCUUUGGAGCAUCACAUGAUGUGGGUAAAGAAAUAGACAAUGUAAAGAGAAUUCUGCAAAGAAGGUAUUGGGCACUUGUUAUUGGAUCUCCAAGACAUCGGAAGGGUUUCAUCUCAGCACCUCUGAGAAAGGUUGUAUUGGACAAUGGAAAAUCAGAUCGAAUCACAGUAAUGCACAAUUCCCAAACUUUGGCGUCACAACAUGCAAUUACAAAGUAUAAAGUGAUUGGAUCAUCUCAUGGAUAUACAUGGUUAGAACUUUCCCCUAUUACUGGUAGAAAGCACCAGCUUCGUGUCCACUGUGCCGAGGUCUUGGGAACACCAAUACUUGGAGACUACAAAUAUGGGUGGCAAGCUCAUAAAAACUGGAAACCUUUUCCUUGUUCUAAUCAUGAAAACAACUCAAAUGAAGUUCCGAAAAGAAAAAUCCUUCCCUUUGGUCUCGAUUUAGAUAAUGGAGAUAUUUCUGACAAGCAUCCUCGUCUACAUCUUCAUUGCAAGCAAAUGGUUUUGCCUGAUAUUUCUCUGGUUUUGCAAAAUGUGCAACUGUAUUCAGACUAUGAUCUUUCACACCUAGAAAGCAUCAAGUUGGUUGCUUCUUUGCCUUCGCAUAUGCAACGAAGUUGGGAACUUACAAACUCUUAAGUUACAACUAGAUCCUCCAAGCUUCAUUUAUAUCCCGUUGAGGUGAUUUUAGUGCUCCAACUCAUUUUGCCAGGUUUUUUACUCAUAUUUGUACUUACCCAAUACUAGAGACAUUGUUAUGUUUUCACAGUAGGGUAUUAUUUUGGGUUCAGACAAUUUUAGAAGUUCAUAUGUGGCCUCGGUAAAAGAUUAUCAUGUACAAUGCUGCUCAUUACUUCAGCUGGAAGGGAAAGAACAAAAGAGUUCUUCAGUUGGCUGCUAACUUGACAUCCAGAGGUUUUUUAUGUACGGCCAGGAGGACAUUGUUUAUUUUCUGGAACAGUUUGUCUAGUGCAUGUACUGUCAUUAUAAUUAUUCUGUUGUUUUGUACCAUGAAAAAAUUAGGAUAACCAGUUCUUUCAUACACAGGAAAACUCUACAGCUAAGUUACUACUCCAGUGGUCGUGUGCAAUGGCAAUUAGCCAGUAACCUCACAUUCUAUUGUCCAUCUUAUCCAGUUUCCUUUGCAGGCCCAUCUUUCAGCAUAACAUGAGUUGUUUGAAGCUUGACUUAAUGCUUGGUUUUUACUUCAUUUGUACCAACGGGUUUAUCCGUCUAUGGUGUGUACGGAGUGUUGACGGCAGUUGCAGUUGUUGAAAAAACAAUCAUCAAUAUUCAUGGUCAGCAUGGAGACUGUCUAUGACUGUCUAUACCGUAGAAUUUUAUAUAUAUAUAUAUUUAUAUAUAUCUUUAUUUUGGUUGAUUUGAUAUUCAUAAGAAGAAUAUGAUCUAAUCCAAUAAUGACAUUGACUCAACUAAAAUAUGACAUGUCUAAUGUUGACUUUGUCCAAGUCUAAAUUUGUAGGUAACCAUCCUUCCAACUACUCCAUGAGAAAGUUUACAUGUUUUGUUUAUUCCAAUUUAGUGAAGACUGUAAAAUGGUGUCAAGAGACACUCAUUACCGCUUGCA